Molecule: transfer RNA, 71 nt
Filed under: Aureispira sp.
Lineage: Bacteria; Pseudomonadati; Bacteroidota; Saprospiria; Saprospirales; Saprospiraceae
Also listed under: 1 other name
Description: tRNA-Arg
Source: RNAcentral
ACCCCAGCCAGUGGAUGGGUUUCUGGCUACGAACUAGAUCUUCGAGGGUUCGAAUCCUUCCUGGGGUACCA